AUACAGGCCAUAAUUUAACAUGUGUUAACACUGUGCAAUGAAAAACACAGAAAUGGAAUUCCAUGCCCUUUCCUAGGUUGGCCAAGAUAGAGAGACAGCUACUCAGUGCUGGCGGGAAGGAGAGAGAGGGGACUCCUCCCGUCAGGUGGGCAGGGCACUGUAUUGUUUUGUUUGUCCCCAAAGCCUUGCAGGUCUUGGUCUUCUCCUCACAACGCUGGGAUGCUACGGGAGCGGCCUGAUCUCCGGGCAGAGCAGGUCAUCUCGGCCGCCCCUGGGGCGAGGGCCAGCUGGAAUGAGCGGGUCUUCCGGUCACUUCUGGACACAGGAGAUGCUCCUGGGACAGUCCCGAGGCACGAGGGCCCUGUGUGACCAGUCAGAAGCGUCCUCAACACAAAGCAGGGGUUCUUCAUGCACGAUGACCAGCCGGAUACCGCAGUCCCCAGUCUGCCCCUCCCCCGCCUCUCUUUUCCUUUCAUAUAGAUUUCUUGCUCCUCUGGGACAGCACCCCACCCCUAAUGCAGCAUUCACCCUUUUGCGGGGGGGGGGGGUUCCUACUGGAAAUCAAAUUUAGGGUGUUCACGCCGAGUGACAUGGUUGAUAGACUGCAUCAACUUGAGAAGCCUAGAAGCUUGUCAGUAACUCAGCAGCUCUCCAUCCUGGGGCAUAGAGGACACACCCGUACUGCUCUAAGAUGUUGUUCAUUGUGUUGCGAAAUUUACAAAUUUAAGCAGGGGGCCAGGGUCCCCCAUUUGUAGACAUCUUGAGCCUGUGGAAGAGGAGGGCAGGGAGAUGCUGUGGGCACUGCACCCACCCAAGGGCCUUUAGCCUGCGUACCACAUGAGGGAGGAAAAGAGGCUCGUUCCUGCUCUUGCUCUGGCUGCUUUGCUGUCUUCUGCCAACUCCAACUGUUGCCCCUGUGCCAGGCCACCCUGCCGCGGAGCCAGCAGAUUGCAGGCUGAAAUCUCCACAAACCGUGAGCUAAAUAAACCUUUCCCUCUUCA
This 1001-nucleotide long non-coding RNA is filed under the name Cavia porcellus (domestic guinea pig). Its description in RNAcentral is "lncRNA (ENSCPOG00000030003.1)". Lineage: Eukaryota; Metazoa; Chordata; Mammalia; Rodentia; Caviidae. The record is from RNAcentral.